CUUCAUCAUCUUGUGAGCAUCUGGGCCAAGUUCAGGGCUGGUGCUCUCGUUCAGAUAGAUUUAGCUGGUGGUGCAGAGAUCCGUGAGCUUGCUUUUACAGGACUUUAAUGAUAUAUAAAAGCAGCACGAGGUGCUCCUGACUGUGGAUUAAUUUGGAGAUGACUUUCUCUGUUGAAGAGUAGCAAGACUCUCGCGAGUUCUUAAAAAUGCACUUGUUUGGUAUGAGAAUGAAAAGCAGUGGCUGAAGAACCAAUCUUCAAUGGGCAAGCCUUCUCUGUGUCUGUUCUAACACGUGCCAUUUGGGAUCCCUUGGAAUCUUCAUGUACAGAACUGGUUGCUGCCUCGUUGAGUCGGUGGGGACAGAAUAGCUCCUGGUUGACAGCAUGGGUUGUGCAGAAGGACGGAUCCUGCAGACAUCAAUAUCUGGCUUUGAGUGGCACAAAGAAAUAAAGGAAUGUGGAUUCAGACCUCACUGGGAUGCUUGGCAAUUCUAAUUCUACCCCAGACUGCAAAUGGACACACAACUGUUGUGACUUUUGUUGAAGAGGAGAAGGAUGGUGAAGGUCUCUUUAGUCAAUAAUCUCUUUGCUGAAAUUGCUUCGGGCAGCACAGAAGCUGGAUUCAGAAGCACACAGGUCUGGGGAUGCAGGCUUCGGCCAGCCUGAUGCAAGGAAAGACUGCCAUCUCGUGGUCAGCUCAAUCCUGGCACCUUGGUGAGGGACCAGGCUGCAGAAAACCAGGCUUGGGGAGGAAACGGUGCUGCAAACUGGAUUUCUGCCGGACAGUGUGGAUGCCCUUAGAAAACACCCAGAAAAGAGCUGAGUGCCCCCCAAGGCUGUUUCCCAUAUAAGGUUCAUGACCCCCAGUGAGGAUGAAACUGCCUGCAAGGUUUGUCUUCUCUCCUGUUCACUGGUUACUCAGCCAGGCUGAUUCAUGGGCUUCUCAAAGGAGCUUGUUUAUCAGAAGCUUGUCUAAGACACCACGUCUUCCAGAAAAUCUCACCUGAGUCACCAACAGAUUCCUCUAAGAGUCUGUAAGCCACUCCUGACCAGCAGGAAACCCCAACAGAGGCAAAGAAUAGGAAAUUAAAUAUUUCGUCAAGAAAAAAUGAGAGGCUGGGUGCGGUGGCUCAUGCCUAUAUCCCAGCACUUUAGGAGGCCUAAGCGGGCGGAUCAUUUGAGGUCAGGAGUUUGAGACCAGCCCGGCCAACAUGGUGAAACCCUGUCUCUACUAAAAAUACAAAAACAAUUAGCUGGGCAUGGUGGUGGGUGCUUGUAAUCCCAGCUACUGGGGGAGGCUGAGGCGGGAGAAUCGCUGAAACCCAGGAGACAGAAGUUGCUGUGAGCCGAGACCACACCACUGCACUCCAGCCUGGGUGAGAGUGAGACUGUCUCAAAAAAAAAAAAAAAAAAAAAAAAAAAGCAAGAAAGCUCCCAUUUAGAUCACUCGGACAAAAGAUUUCUUUUUGUGCCAAAAUGUUCCACUAGGCUUCCAGUUUUUACCACAUAACUUGACAGUCAUGCAAGACUUAAGUGUAUUUUCAGCUAUCCUUUCUCUUUCAUUUAUUUCUGUUUAAUAAGCUCUGUCCAUUGAUUCUAGUUAGUACAUUAUAUAUCUUUUUAAUCACUUACCUGCAGUGAGCAUCUUUCCAUGUUGGUAAAUACCGGUGCUACUACUGUUACUACUGAGUACUUAUUCCAUGUCAAAUCCUCUGCCAAGCAUUUUCAAGCAUUGUCUCAUUGCCUUCUUGCCACAACCCUAUGAAGAGGCCGUGACUGUCCUCAUCCAAUGGAGGAGGAAGCUAAGGCUGAGAGCAAUUAACACAGCUGUGAGUGAACAGGUAGGAUUUAAAGCCAGGCAGUAUGAUUCCGGAGCCUACGCUUUUAAUCACUGUUAUUUUACUCUCCUCCACUCCCCAAAUAUACUGCAUUUUUUUUGUGUGAUUGUAUUGUAUUAUUCUGUUCUAGAUGUACUAUGAUUGAUUUCGUCCAUGCUGUAAUUACACUUCGGUUGGUUUUAGUUUUCACUACUACAAAUGGUGUUGCAACGAACGUCUUUGUGGGCAAAUCUUUACAGGUCAUGAAUGACCCUUUCCUUAGGACACAUAUUGCCAAGCUGAUCUCCACAAAGGUAGUACACGCCCAUCAUAUUGUACAAAAGUAUUCUUUGCCCUCCACCCUUGACACUGGGUUGCAUCUAUUUUUUAAUUAUUGCUGUUAGGAUAGAAGAACAAGGCUGACACAUUGUUGUUUCAGUUUGUAAGCUAGAACACUUCAUUGCACAUUAGCUGUAUUCCUUAGGUGUAUUUCUUGUUCAUGUCCUUUGCCCUCUGAGGUUUGUCUCUUUAUCACAGAUUUGAGAACUUUUUGUAUAUGUCUUAUAUUUUUAGAAUUAAUAAAUUUAGGGCAUAAACCCAAUAGAAAGAAAAACAGACUCAUUCUGUGUUUUGCAUAGCAUCUUACCUCCUAUCCUUCCUCCACAUUGAUAGUAAAGCAUAAGAAAUGAUUCCUGUGCCCAGAGGUUGAAAGCAGGUCCAUUUUAACAAAGUCACUUGGAAGCAUCCCCUUUCUCCAAAAGAAGCUCCCAGCUUCUCCUCCUGCUCUUCGGUCUCAGAGGAAGGGAAGAUGUUGGAGAGGAGCAUAAAAACUUACUUUGGGCCAGGCGCGGUGGCUCACGCCUGUAAUCCCAGCACUUUGGGAGGCCGAGAAGGGCAGAUCAUGAGGUCAGGAGAUCGAGACUAUCCUGGCUAACACAGUGAAACCUUGUCUCUACUAAAAAUACAAAAAAUUAGCCAGGUGUGGUGGCGGGUGCCUGUAGUCCCAGCUACUUGGGAGGCUGAGGCAGGAGAAUGGCAUGAACUCGGGAGGCGGAACUUACAGUGAGCCGAGAUGGCACCACUGCACUCCAGCCUGGGUGACAGAGUGAGACUUUGUCUCAAAAACAAAAACAAAAACAAAAACAACAAAAUAAAACAAAACAAAAACUUACUCUGUAGGGGCCACAUAAUCAGACAACUGGCUUGAGCAGGCCCUAUGCCAUCUUUUAUUGAUAAUGAUGAAUCGGAGCGGCCAGGCCUGGUAUGUGAGUUUUGGACGUGAUCCUAAGUGGAGUUGUCUUGUUUAUACUUGUUUUCCCUUUGUUAUUAUUUUGGCAUUAUCAUGGAUAAUUCCAUACUUCUAGGGUGUAAUUCCAGUGUAAUUAAACUUGAACAGCCCAAUAUCACACAAUUGAUUACAUACAGCAUUUAUUUCUAAGUAUUUCAGGGCUACGAGUGUGACCAAUGCCUGGGGGUGUUGAGAGCUAAUUCAGGUGCCACCCUGCUGGUCUGAUGGCUCAAGAGGGCUGGUCACACACAAACCAUGGGGUUCAUGGGAUGUAGAUCUUCA
RNAcentral lists this long non-coding RNA (3386 nucleotides) under Homo sapiens (human). RNAcentral's name for it is "HSALNT0399963". The record is from RNAcentral. Lineage: Eukaryota; Metazoa; Chordata; Mammalia; Primates; Hominidae.